AGCUUGUGUCCCUUCUUCAAGGGCUGUGUAAAUUUCAGGACUAUCUUCUUAAGCAUUUUCUGCCUUUGAUGCUCCAAGAUUUCCGGAACAAGAAUGGGAAAAUCCAACCGUAACAACGUCAAGAAAAGCAUCUGGCAGGUCCUCUGCGGCUGCUUAUCGCCUAAGACCAAGGGCUAAUUAAGAUCUUAUGACUCACCAUGCACAUAGGUCAACUUGUUUCGUACAUGUCGAUUGCCGUUAAUUAGAUGUCAUAAUUACGUUAUUACUAAGUUGAUCGUUCAAUUGGUUUUUAGUUGUGUGACUGUCGGCGGAGCUACACACUCUGCAGUAAGGGAAAUGUAAAACAGUGUCAUGUAACCAUGUGUCCAAAAUAAACUCAUAUAUUUCGUCCUUUAUGUCAUGAAAGCGAAUCAUAAUAUAUACUGUUGUAUUCUUUCCUUAAAAA
Molecule: long non-coding RNA, 445 nt
Organism: Lolium perenne
Lineage: Eukaryota; Viridiplantae; Streptophyta; Magnoliopsida; Poales; Poaceae
Source: RefSeq, a predicted model, not a curated record